GUGAAGUUCUGAAGCUUUUUAUUUUGGCAAAUGGUUUGGGGUAAAUGACCAGUCAAUUGGUUUUUGUCUAGUUGAAGCACAGACAGGUUUGGGAGACUUGCUAUCUGUUCAGGAAUUGGCCCGGAGAGUUGGUUAACACGGAGAUACAAAUAUUUUAACUCUUUCAAAUUACUCAAGGAAGUAGGAAUAGAACCAUUAAGUUGGUUUUCACUCAACUCUAGAUCAAUCAUAGACUUCAAGUUUCCCAACUCAUUAGGAAUGGGGCCAGAGAGCUUAUUUUCAUAGAGAUGAAGAAGGGUGAGACUUGUCAAAUUACCUAGUGUUGCCGGAAUUGGGCCAAAAAGACUGUUUCUAUAAAGGCUUAGGGAGUUGAGAGACUUCAAGUUUCCAAUUUCUUGGGGAAUUGA
This 407-nucleotide unclassified non-coding RNA is filed under the name Hevea brasiliensis (rubber tree). Lineage: Eukaryota; Viridiplantae; Streptophyta; Magnoliopsida; Malpighiales; Euphorbiaceae. The record is from RNAcentral.